This 1357-nucleotide ribosomal RNA is filed under the name Triticum aestivum (bread wheat). RNAcentral's name for it is "partial small subunit ribosomal RNA". The record is from RNAcentral. Lineage: Eukaryota; Viridiplantae; Streptophyta; Magnoliopsida; Poales; Poaceae.
CGCACGUCAGACGGACUACUUGUUUCUAUUUCUCUCAGGAAAGAAACAGAAGUUUCGAGUACCCCUUCUAAAGAUCAAGGUCGCUACACACGGUGGAAAUCUCUCGGUCUCUCUCCCAACGCGAGAGGCGGUUUCCAGGCGGGCUGCCUCCACUGGUCUCCAUCGCCUCCGGUAAGCCGUCGGGCUCUCGGAGGUGUGCGGGACAGUGUACGACCGCGAGGCGGUUGUAGAUAAUGUUGUUUUAGAAUUUUAUUCUGGCACUGGCGGGCAGGUAGGGGCGACGUCAACGCUGUGGGAUAAGGUUCCCCCUGGCUCCUUUCCCGUCUCCGCGGUGAUCCCUCCGGCCGGUGGCACUGCGGGGUUAGGGAGGUUGGCCUCUCUCUUAUCCGGCGAGGUUUGGUCGGUGAUGGGGGUGCACAAUAGUAUAGAAGUUGGGAUUUGUGGAGAGGGAUUCCCAGAUCAGGUCGCCUCGGACGGCCGACAGCUGCGCACUGUUGCGGGCGAAGUGGUUUGAGUUGCGGCUCCACUCCGUCAUAGGCUGCCGCUGGUCAAGGGAUCACUUGGUCUACCCCAGGCCGAUGCACCAGAACCCUCCCUGGUUCCGUCUUUUGGGGAGGGACUUAUAUGCGGCUCACAAAGCCAUGGAUUGGCGAUGCUGCUCCUCAUGCCCGUUGUCUUGUGGAUGACGGCUAGCACCGGCGAGUGCAGAGAUCAGCGUGCCUGGGUGAAUAAGGAAGAUGAACUGGGCUGUAAGUUACUUUGUUUUCUCUGUCGGCGUUAUUCCCUUUAGUGUUAUCUCUGCCUCUCUAGUUCUCAACCUCCAACGACAUGCCCUUUUUUGUGCUGGCCAUGGAGGCUAGCAGCGGCAGGACUGCCAUGACUAGGCCGCGCAAUAUUUCUAACAGUGUUGAGCUACUCGUUCCCGACAGCUCCGGUGCCAAGCUGCCAAGCAGAUUUCAGGAUAUAGAAGGCAGCUUCAGGAAGGGGUCGCUGACGAGAGAAAUAAGUACUGAAGCAGGCUUCACCGAAGACUACUGAUCUAGAAUUGUUUGUUGCUGAAAUAAGUCCAGGAGCGGUGGAGCAGGCUGAACAAUUUUCUGUUGAUUUUACUGAAUGGAUUGUCCCUGUAAUUUGACCAAACGUCAUGUCGCCGUGCCACUGAAGUUUUUGCACAGAAUUCUUGUCUUUUUGGGUGGUGCCAAGCUGUCUUUUUGUUGAACAAUGCCACAAUUGCAUAGUUGUAAGUUAUUUAGGAUUGUCUCUAUUGCAUACGACCUGGAGUUACAAGAGGUCCAGUACUAAUUUUGUGUAUGUAUGUACAUGUGCAGUCACCCAUUUUCUAUACACAAGAUUCCAA